Zingiber officinale is the source of this 826-nucleotide long non-coding RNA. RefSeq lists it as uncharacterized. The transcript has 3 exons. The record is from RefSeq and is a predicted model, not a curated record. Lineage: Eukaryota; Viridiplantae; Streptophyta; Magnoliopsida; Zingiberales; Zingiberaceae.
UCUAACGCCGAUCCUCUCCUCACCCGACCCGAGUCUUCUUCCUCCUUCCCCAAACUCCCCUCCUUCCGCUCGUCUCUUCUCCGAUGCGACGCUGAGGCCGGAUCGGACAUCGAUGCCACCAGGGAAUUGAUCGCCGACGAGGGUCUUCUACUGGAGUUCUGAGAGAGAGGGGCUAGCUUCAUCGGAGCUUUCUUCUUGCGGACCCGUGCCCUAGAUCGCCGGAGGAGCUCGUUGCUGGAGGUUGUCGGAGACAGAACCAGGAGGCUCGGAUCAUCCCGAUCUAUUAUUCUCAGGUCUUCCCUGAGCUUUCCUCCCUGUUCUGUCGAUUCUUUCUUCCCCGAUUCGACGCCACUGGGUCGAGUCUUUGCCAUCCGAUCGCCGGCGUGAAGGGACCAUUAGGGGUUUCGAGGUGAGGAGGAAUUCUGGGGAGGUCUUGAUGAGGUGUUCUUGAGCUGUUGGGCAGAGGCUAGAAGGUGGGCUUGAUUAGUCAUCUGCUUGCUUGAGUCCUUGAUCCGGUUGAUUUCAACAAGUUGGUAUUCUGUGGAUCCGUAGUUCUAUUUUUGUGGAGUUUUUCUUUAGCUCCAGCAGCAGCUACCCUUCUUGGCAGCAUCAUUUCUUUGUGUGGAUCAACAGGACAGUGCUAGGAAUUGAGGUGGUUGUUCUGUGAAGGUGAUCUUGGUUUCCAGCAAAGCUUGCUGUGGGUUUUCUGAUCCAGCAAGAAAAUCCCCCCUCAUUGUGCUGUUGAUAAGGUUUUGAAUCAGUGAGGACUCUGAUUCGAGACGGGCGUCUCGACCUUGGAUUGCUUGAUUGUACCUUCUAUUUGAGG